UUCAGCGNGACGGGUAGCCGGCCUGAGAGGGCGACCGGCCACACUGGGACUGAGACACGGCCCAGACUCCUACGGGAGGCAGCAGUGGGGAAUAUUGCACAAUGGGCGAAAGCCUGAUGCAGCGACGCCGCGUGAGGGAUGACGGCCUUCGGGUUGUAAACCUCUUUCAGCAGGGAAGAAGCGAGAGUGACGGUACCUGCAGAAGAAGCGCCGGCUAACUACGUGCCAGCAGCCGCGGUAAUACGUAGGGCGCAAGCGUUGUCCGGAAUUAUUGGGCGUAAAGAGCUCGUAGGCGGCUUGUCACGUCGGAUGUGAAAGCCCGGGGCUUAACCCCGGGUCUGCAUUCGAUACGGGCAGGCUAGAGUUCGGUAGGGGAGAUCGGAAUUCCUGGUGUAGCGGUGAAAUGCGCAGAUAUCAGGAGGAACACCGGUGGCGAAGGCGGAUCUCUGGGCCGAUACUGACGCUGAGGAGCGAAAGCGUGGGGAGCGAACAGGAUUAGAUACCCUGGUAGUCCACGCCGUAAACGUUGGGAACUAGGUGUGGGCGACAUUCCACGUCGUCCGUGCCGUA
Molecule: ribosomal RNA, 570 nt
Filed under: Streptomyces sp.
Lineage: Bacteria; Bacillati; Actinomycetota; Actinomycetes; Kitasatosporales; Streptomycetaceae
Description: bacterial SSU rRNA
Rfam family: Bacterial small subunit ribosomal RNA
Source: RNAcentral